This 114-nucleotide ribosomal RNA is filed under the name uncultured bacterium. RNAcentral's name for it is "partial 16S ribosomal RNA". It matches the Rfam family "Bacterial small subunit ribosomal RNA", at positions 1358 to 1482 of the family's 1533-position model. The record is from RNAcentral.
CGCGGUGAAUACGUUCCGGGCCUUGUACACACCGCCCGUCAAGCCAUGGAAGCUGGGGGUACCUGAAGUAUGUAACCGCAAGGAGCGUCCUAGGGUAAAACCGGUAACUGGGCU